AGAUUGAACGCUGGCGGCAUGCUUUACACAUGCGAGUCGAACGGCAGCACGGGGGGCAACCCUGGUGGCGAGUGGCGAACGGGUGAGUAAUGCAUCGGAACGUAUCCUUGAGUGGGGGAUAACCAGCCGAAAGGUUGGCUAAUACCGCAUACGCCUACGGGGGAAAGCGGGGGAUCGAAAGACCUCGCGCCGGUGGAUGAGCCGAUGUCCGAUUAGCUGGUUGGUGGGGUAACGGCCCACCAAGGCGACGAUCGGUAGCUGGUCUGAGAGGAUGAUCAGCCACACUGGGACUGAGACACGGCCCAGACUCCUACGGGAGGCAGC
RNAcentral lists this ribosomal RNA (324 nucleotides) under uncultured prokaryote. RNAcentral's name for it is "bacterial SSU rRNA". It matches the Rfam family "Bacterial small subunit ribosomal RNA", at positions 26 to 352 of the family's 1533-position model. The record is from RNAcentral.